CAAGUCGAACGGCGAGCGCGGGGCGAACCUAGGCGGCGAGUGGCGAACGGGUGAGUAAUAUAUCGGAACGUACCCUGGAUGGGGGAUAACGUAGCGAAAGUUACGCUAAUACCGCAUACGAUCUAAGGAUGAAAGUGGGGGAUCGCAAGACCUCAUGCUCCUGGAGCGGCCGAUAUCUGAUUAGCUAGUUGGUGGGGUAAAGGCCUACCAAGGCAUCGAUCAGUAGCUGGUCUGAGAGGACGACCAGCCACACUGGAACUGAGACACGGUCCAGACUCCUACGGGAGGCAGCAGUGGGGAAUUUUGGACAAUGGGCGAAAGCCUGAUCCAGCAAUGCCGCCGUGAGUGAAGAAGGCCUUCGGGUUGUAAAGCUCUUUUGUCAGGGAAGAAACGGUGAGGGCUAAUAUCCUUUGCUAAUGACGGUACCUGAAGAAUAAGCACCGGCUAACUACGUGCCAGCCGCCGC
This 466-nucleotide ribosomal RNA is filed under the name uncultured bacterium. RNAcentral describes it as "bacterial SSU rRNA". It matches the Rfam family "Bacterial small subunit ribosomal RNA", at positions 58 to 518 of the family's 1533-position model. The record is from RNAcentral.